This 346-nucleotide long non-coding RNA is filed under the name Cyanistes caeruleus (blue tit). Its description in RNAcentral is "lncRNA (ENSCCEG00000015979.1)". Lineage: Eukaryota; Metazoa; Chordata; Aves; Passeriformes; Paridae. The record is from RNAcentral.
GUAAACAAUUCUUAUUGUUAUGAAGGAGUUUAAAAGCUCCUCGGAUUAUUUAAAUGUCAUGGGGAAAAAAAAAAAUCAAACUUAAGAAAAAUCUCCAUUUCAUUUUUCUAGCAUAUGAACUGUGUUUGAAGAAAAAUCCUGGAUGAGUAUCACCAGAGGUGUUACUAAAGGAGCAUCAGCUACUCUACAGGCAAGAGAAGGAAAAGUGCUCUAUGUAUUUGUAACUUGUGGUCUAAAAGGACAAGGAGCUCUGAAUCACACUGGGACCCUCUUUACUGGUAUUGCUAACACAGUUGGAUUCCUGUACUGUAAAGGUGGUAAAGAUGAAGGAGCUACAAAUGACUAG